GACGAACGCUGGCGGCGUGCUUAACACAUGCAAGUCGAACGGAAAGGCCCUGCUUGCAGGGUACUCGAGUGGCGAACGGGUGAGUAACACGUGGGUGAUCUGCCCUGCACUUCGGGAUAAGCCUGGGAAACUGGGUCUAAUACCGGAUAGGAGCCAUUUUUAGUGUGAUGGUUGGAAAGUUUUUUCGGUGUCGGAUGAGCUCGCGGCCUAUCAGCUUGUUGGUGGGGUAAUGGCCUACCAAGGCGGCGACGGGUAGCCGGCCUGAGAGGGUGGACGGCCACAUUGGGACUGAGAUACGGCCCAGACUCCUACGGGAGGCAGCAGUGGGGAAUAUUGCACAAUGGGCGCAAGCCUGAUGCAGCGACGCCGCGUGGGGGAUGACGGCCUUCGGGUUGUAAACUCCUUUCGCUAGGGACGAAGCUUUUUGUGACGGUACCUAGAUAAGAAGCACCGGCUAACUACGUG
RNAcentral lists this ribosomal RNA (465 nucleotides) under uncultured bacterium. RNAcentral describes it as "partial 16S ribosomal RNA". It matches the Rfam family "Bacterial small subunit ribosomal RNA", at positions 28 to 507 of the family's 1533-position model. The record is from RNAcentral.